CCCUAUCUGUAUCUGAUUUCUAAACUGUUCCCUCCCAAAAUAAUCCCCUAUUUAAGGACUCUCUAACCCCCAAAAGUAUACAUUUUUGAAACAUCAGACAGGCACCGAAACUGAGAGAAAAACACAAAUCGAACAAAAAGAAAGAGAGGAUUCUACAUACUUGGACACUGCAUCAAUACCUACACUGUAUCAGAAAAAUCAGAGAAGAAAGAAAAGACAGAG
RNAcentral lists this long non-coding RNA (222 nucleotides) under Capsicum annuum. Its description in RNAcentral is "long non-coding RNA (CANN_LNC000532)". Lineage: Eukaryota; Viridiplantae; Streptophyta; Magnoliopsida; Solanales; Solanaceae. The record is from RNAcentral.